GCGCUUGCUUCGGCAGCACAUAUAUUAAAAGUGGAACGAUACAGAGAAGAUUAGCAUGGCCCCUGCGCAAGGAUGAUACACAUACACACACACACACACACACACACA
This is a non-coding RNA of Myotis brandtii (Brandt's bat), 108 nucleotides long. Lineage: Eukaryota; Metazoa; Chordata; Mammalia; Chiroptera; Vespertilionidae. The record is from Rfam.